AACUGAGAUGUUCACGUUCAAGUCCUUUGUAGAUGUCAAGCGCAACUGAGAAACCGCAC
This 59-nucleotide small RNA is filed under the name Arabidopsis thaliana (thale cress). RNAcentral describes it as "ATSL221730". Lineage: Eukaryota; Viridiplantae; Streptophyta; Magnoliopsida; Brassicales; Brassicaceae. The record is from RNAcentral.